Molecule: ribosomal RNA, 1553 nt
Filed under: Salmonella enterica
Lineage: Bacteria; Pseudomonadati; Pseudomonadota; Gammaproteobacteria; Enterobacterales; Enterobacteriaceae
Description: bacterial SSU rRNA
Rfam family: Bacterial small subunit ribosomal RNA
Source: RNAcentral
AAAUUGAAGAGUUUGAUCAUGGCUCAGAUUGAACGCUGGCGGCAGGCCUAACACAUGCAAGUCGAACGGUAACAGGAAGCAGCUUGCUGCUUCGCUGACGAGUGGCGGACGGGUGAGUAAUGUCUGGGAAACUGCCUGAUGGAGGGGGAUAACUACUGGAAACGGUGGCUAAUACCGCAUAACGUCGCAAGACCAAAGAGGGGGACCUUCGGGCCUCUUGCCAUCAGAUGUGCCCAGAUGGGAUUAGCUUGUUGGUGAGGUAACGGCUCACCAAGGCGACGAUCCCUAGCUGGUCUGAGAGGAUGACCAGCCACACUGGAACUGAGACACGGUCCAGACUCCUACGGGAGGCAGCAGUGGGGAAUAUUGCACAAUGGGCGCAAGCCUGAUGCAGCCAUGCCGCGUGUAUGAAGAAGGCCUUCGGGUUGUAAAGUACUUUCAGCGGGGAGGAAGGUGUUGUGGUUAAUAACCGCAGCAAUUGACGUUACCCGCAGAAGAAGCACCGGCUAACUCCGUGCCAGCAGCCGCGGUAAUACGGAGGGUGCAAGCGUUAAUCGGAAUUACUGGGCGUAAAGCGCACGCAGGCGGUCUGUCAAGUCGGAUGUGAAAUCCCCGGGCUCAACCUGGGAACUGCAUUCGAAACUGGCAGGCUUGAGUCUUGUAGAGGGGGGUAGAAUUCGGGUGUAGCGGUGAAAUGCGUAGAGAUCUGGAGGAAUACCGGUGGCGAAGGCGGCCCCCUGGACAAAGACUGACGCUCAGGUGCGAAAGCGUGGGGAGCAAACAGGAUUAGAUACCCUGGUAGUCCACGCCGUAAACGAUGUCUACUUGGAGGUUGUGCCCUUGAGGCGUGGCUUCCGGAGCUAACGCGUUAAGUAGACCGCCUGGGGAGUACGGCCGCAAGGUUAAAACUCAAAUGAAUUGACGGGGGCCCGCACAAGCGGUGGAGCAUGUGGUUUAAUUCGAUGCAACGCGAAGAACCUUACCUGGUCUUGACAUCCACAGAAGAAUCCAGAGAUGGAUUUGUGCCUUCGGGAACUGUGAGACAGGUGCUGCAUGGCUGUCGUCAGCUCGUGUUGUGAAAUGUUGGGUUAAGUCCCGCAACGAGCGCAACCCUUAUCCUUUGUUGCCAGCGGUUAGGCCGGGAACUCAAAGGAGACUGCCAGUGAUAAACUGGAGGAAGGUGGGGAUGACGUCAAGUCAUCAUGGCCUACUUACGACCGGGGCUACACACGUGCUACAAUGGCGCAUACAAAGAGAAGCGACCUCGCGAGAGCAAGCGGACCUCAUAAAGUGCGUCGUAGUCCGGAUUGGAGUCUGCAACUCGACUCCAUGAAGUCGGAAUCGCUAGUAAUCGUGGAUCAGAAUGCCACGGUGAAUACGUUCCCGGGCCUUGUACACACCGCCCGUCACACCAUGGGAGUGGGUUGCAAAAGAAGUAGGUAGCUUAACCUUCGGGAGGGCGCUUACCACUUUGUGAUUCAUGACUGGGGUGAAGUCGUAACAAGGUAACCGUAGGGGAACCUGCGGUUGGAUCACCUCCUUACCUUAAAGAA